RNAcentral lists this transfer RNA (72 nucleotides) under Solanum lycopersicum (tomato). It matches the Rfam family "tRNA". Rfam says of the family: Transfer RNA (tRNA) molecules are approximately 80 nucleotides in length. Their secondary structure includes four short double-helical elements and three loops (D, anti-codon, and T loops). Further hydrogen bonds mediate the characteristic L-shaped molecular structure. tRNAs have two regions of fundamental functional importance: the anti-codon, which is responsible for specific mRNA codon recognition, and the 3' end, to which the tRNAs corresponding amino acid is attached (by aminoacyl-tRNA synthetases). tRNAs cope with the degeneracy of the genetic code in two manners: having more than one tRNA (with a specific anti-codon) for a particular amino acid; and 'wobble' base-pairing, i.e. permitting non-standard base-pairing at the 3rd anti-codon position. Lineage: Eukaryota; Viridiplantae; Streptophyta; Magnoliopsida; Solanales; Solanaceae. The record is from Rfam by way of RNAcentral.
AGGGAUAUAACUCAGCGGUAGAGUGUCAUCUUGACGUGGUAUGAGUUGUCAGUUCGAGCCUGAUUAUCCCUA